RNAcentral lists this long non-coding RNA (819 nucleotides) under Sus scrofa (pig). RNAcentral describes it as "lncRNA (ENSSSCG00030039711.1)". Lineage: Eukaryota; Metazoa; Chordata; Mammalia; Artiodactyla; Suidae. The record is from RNAcentral.
CUGAAGUAUGGAUGGACAGGAACUCAUCUUACGUACAUGUACUCUUACACCAAAAACCUCAACGAAACAAGGUGAACAUGGCCUUACCAAAGACAGCUCACACGUCAAUAUCGGCUGUAAAGCGUGUGGCAUCAGCGACAAUGUGGAUAUUCUUUCCUGCCAGAAGCACACAUGGAUGGCUGAAAUUACUCCCUAAGAUGGGGGUAUGGCCGUUGAGGAUCGUAAAGAUCGAUGGGUAACACUCCUAGAAAGUGUCUCGCCUUGUCUCUGGGUUGACCCUGAAGCAGUGCCCAGCCCAACAAUGAGCAAUAUGAUCAUCUACCAGAGUUAGGCCUAAAAAAGGGCAGGAAAUUACCAAAUACUGUCUCCACUUUUAGGAAAAUGAUAAAGGAAAAGGAGUAAAGACUCCUGGCAUGAGAAAUUGGAUUCAUCUACGUUUUGCUGAUGUUUUAUAAUAAAUGAACUUUUCAUUAAUGAGUUUUUGUUUGUUUGUUUAUUUUUUAGCAUCCUAUAGCUAGACUCUGAGUCUUUGAGAAAGGCAAGAAAAGAAAUGGAACCAUGCUGAAUUAUAUUUCCUCUUCUAAGAUUUGGGACCAAUUCCAGAUUAUUCAAACUACAAUAGCCUUUUUUUUUUUUUUUUUUUUUUUUUUUUUCAGGGAUCCACAAAUCCCACCUGAGCCUCUUGAUACCUUCCCAUCCUUGAAGAGAGGCUCUUAUCAACCUGAAGAUUUGACCCAUGUUACUGGAGGAAGGAGAUGGAGCAUGCUUUCUGUGCUGCAGUUGCUGGCCAACAGUUACAACCUUCCUAGAAGAUAUUGA